This 3842-nucleotide long non-coding RNA is filed under the name Homo sapiens (human). Its description in RNAcentral is "HSALNT0092507". The record is from RNAcentral. Lineage: Eukaryota; Metazoa; Chordata; Mammalia; Primates; Hominidae.
ACUUAGGCUUCAUUGGUUUGAACUGAGUGAAAGCAUUGGUAGUGCCUAAAAAGAUCCCUCAGGUGAUUCCAAUGCACUAGCACCAUGGUUCUUCAACUUUGAUUACCAGAACAACCACAGCAGCAUCACCUGUAAACUUUUCACAACGUCCCAGGCUUCCUCCUAUACCUACUGAAGCAGAAACUUUGGUGCUGGGGCUCAGCAAUAUGAAUUUUAACGCGCUCUUAAGGCAACUUUGAUAAGAUGACUGCUCUGCCUUCUGCCAUCCCCCUCUCCUCAUCUAACAUUUCCUGAGGUCUCUACAGCCACAUGGAACGGGACUGUGUUAUGCACUUCAGAUGAGGAAUACAAAAUACAAAAUUCCUUAUAAGUUGUGGAAUAAAAGAUGCAAGACAAAACAAGCAGUGCCGAAGACACACGGACCACAUUAAUCAGAAAGAAGCAGGGUGCUAAAUGAAGAGGCCAAGAGAUCCUCUUGGGAUAUCUGGGAUUAUUUCACAGAGAAGAAACCUAAAUUCUUAACCUAGAUUCUCAAAGUAUGAGGAGUAAGCAAGCAGAUACUGCGAGUAGAGAUGACACCAAUGAAAACACAAUGGACAUGAGAAAAUAAGGGCACUGCAAACACAAUUACACACCCAAAGCCUAAUUUUCAACUAAGGAAACUUGAGUCCCAGACUGCCCAGCAUUGUAAAAUGUACGAAGAGAUUUAGGUUUUAUUCUUCAGCAGACAAAAUGCACUGACUUUUUUUGUUUGUUUGUUUAAUUGAGGAGUGGUAUGAUUCCAUAACGGAUUUAAAAGAGUAAAUGUGUUAGGACUGGGAGAUUGAUUGGCAUGGGAAGAUGAUAGCAAGGAGACCAGGCUAUUAGAGGAGUAGGGCAAACACACUCUGAUCUGAUCUGAGACCAUGGCCAUUUUCUUUCAAAAAUGUUUUUGGAAAUAUUUUAUGGUUAUUAUUUUUAAAUAAAAUAGCUCCUACUCUUGAUUUCACUACAAAUGUUAAAAUAUUGCUAUCACUUAUAAGACAAAACCAUAGGCUAAUGUAUAAUGCUUGUAAUAGAGCAUACUUGGUAAAUACAAAGGCACAGCUGCUUUAAUUAAUUUCUAUGAGAAAAGUAAACAAAAAUUUUGAAUACUUCAUGCAAAGUAUAACAAGCUUAUAGGCUUUUACAUUUUCCAGUUCACAUUGCCAUUUCUAUCUAAGAAGGACACACAAUAAGAUGGAAGAAAACUUGCUUUAAAAUCUUUAUUUUAAGCAGGGACUUAAUGCAGUGAUUUUAUUCUCCUAAUAAAUAUAACCCCACAUAAGAGCUGUCACCAUAUUCUGUAAUAGGCACCAAGUUUGAGCCAAACUAAUUAGCAAUAAAUCUGCCAGAACCCACUCAAAAUAUUCUCCUAAUUAAUCAGAAAAGAAAUAGAUGAAUUGAAAAAUGUUGUUAUCCCAUGAAAGAAAUUUUAUCAUCAAUUUCUGUGGUUACUUAACUGAUUUGUCUGUCUUCAUACUGGCACGCCCAUCAGCCUUUGCUUUAUAAGUCAGUUAAAAAUUUUCUGAUUACUUGGGAUGAAGGGAUUAUAAAAAGCUAUAAGUACCAAGUGAUCAUGAUUUUUAGCUGGAUUAUAUUUAUUUGUUUGAGCACACUUCACUAAUAAAAUAUUUUUCCUGUAUUUCAUAUACUAAAAUAGUUACCUCCACUUUUUUAAAAUCUUUAGCUGAUUUCUGUUUUUAAAACCCUCAUUUACUUUUUACUGUUUUGGUUCUUCUGUGUAAUAAUUUUUUUUCAUCUCUUCCUCAACAGUUUCCAUUGAAUGUUUUCAGAAUACUUUCAUCUAAAUUUUAAAUGUCUCUUGAGUGUAGCUAAUUAAGCUUCAUUAAAGCAUAACAAUCUAAAUCUUAACACCAAUAAUGAGCACUUAAUAAAACAAAGACAACCUUCCAUUUGAAGAUUAACAAAUUUGCUCUAUAUGUUCUUUUCCAGGCUAAGGAAACAGUCUGCCAUCUGAUAUAAAUUUUACCUUAAUAUUUGUACCUUUAUUACUUUAUUCCAUGCUUUUAAAUGGUUAGAACAUCAUGGGCUUCUUCCAAAAUUUCUGAAGGAAAAAUAUUUUAAAGUUCUCAUUAGUCUUCAAAAGCAUAAAGUAUGGAAAGGUGGGAAGGGUAGGGAGAGAUGUGACUUUACAGCAGAGAAACGUGCCAAACACUACCUCAACUUCAUGGUAAAGACUAACAUCAUCAGUGAAAAUCAUUUCAAUUGUGUUUAUCUUUGAUAUUAAGUGUUAAGAAUGGUACUUAUCUUUGUAUUCAUUAUCCGCAAAUCCCCAUAGCCCCAAUCUAAACCUGGAAACAAAAAAUCAGACAAAUCCAAACUGAUACUCUACAAAAUACCUGGCCAGCACUCCUGAAAUAUGUGAAAGUCAUCACAUACUUUGAUGAUUUUCACAUAUUUCUUACACUGAGAAACUUUGCAAGAGGAAGGUAGUACAUAUGAUAAUUAAUGUAAUGAGGUAUCCUGGAUGGGAUCCUGGAACAGAAAGAAAAAAAAUUUGGAAAGUUCAAGUGAAGUACAGAGUUUGGUUAAUGGCAAUGUUACCAACAUUGGUUUCUUAGUUUUGACAAAUGCACCAUGGCAAUGUAAGAUGUUAACUGGAUGAAAGUUACUCAGAAACUUUCUGUACCAUCUCUGCAAAUAUUCUGGAAACCUAAAACAAUUCUAUUUUUUGAAAGUUUAUUCACAAAUAAUUUCAUAAGAACAGAUAAUCAAUAUCACAAGGUAAUUGUGAAAACAGGCAAAAUAGUCUUAUGUCUAUUCCUGAUAAAUUAUGUAUUGAUUAUUAAUAGAACUUCCACAUGCAUUUUAUGCUAUAAAAUAUUUUGUACAGUAGAUUUAUGCCUCAUGAGUUAAGUUGUAAUCCAAUGGCAAGGGGAACAUUUUGUCAAAGUUUCUCUUGACAGUACAUUAAACUACCCAUAAAAUAUGGAACAUAUUGUCUUAUGUAUACAACAUCCUACAGAGUUCUUGUAAAUCCUUCAUAGUGUUUCUCCAUGGUAUCUUUCCUAAUAAAUAUAAUCCUUCAAUGUAAUUUUCAAAUGGCAUAAAGGAAGUUUCCAUCUUCCAACCACUUGCACAAACAAUGUGAUUCAUUUCUUUCUAAAUGAUCUGGAAACUCUUUGCAGAAUGUCUGCUCUCUUUCCAAAGGCAUCAAAAUAUGGACUUAUUACUUAAGAUUCCAUUGAAUUUACUCUCAGAGGCACAUGCUCAUUGAGAAAAAUGCUGAAUCAUCACCUCUCACUUAUUAUUAUGGUUCUUUAUUUCCAGAGGUUCAAUUGAGUUCUAACAGGUAUACAUGUGACUCCAUUGUAUUUCAAAAUGGUGAAUAAAUAUAUUAGCAAUAUUUAAAUUUAUCAUACAAAAAAAUUUGUAUAGAUAGGAUGGAAAUAUAUGUUCUUACACUUGAUUGGAAUAAAAUCAGUGAACUGUGUUUAAAAUAUAAACAUAAAUAUUGAGACUAGUAAAAAUGUGAUCAUCUAACGAAUAUUGUUUUAAAAAUUAACGUUUGAAGCAAUUACAUCUAAUUUUUGUGUUGCUCCUGUGCCAUUUAAAGAGAUACCCCUAUUAUUGUGAGUGAUGGUGGUUAUUAUGUGUAUUGAUACUGGAUUAAAAAUCUCAAAUUGAUUUUUUAAAGUUAUUAAAAAUCAUUGAUCAAGUAAUAAGAAAAAUUAACUGGAAAAGUUCAACUGCUUAUACAAUUUUGAUAAAUGAAGGAGCAUAAUUGGAAAGUUUAACCAUCAUUAAAGAUGUUAUCUGUGUCACAUGAAGUAAACUAAAAAUGCAGCAAUUAAAAUGGG